ACGAGAGGGACUAGAUUGUUAUACAUCAGUAACCAUGACCUAAGCCAUAGAAAGGAUUCGGGUUUCUGACUCGUGACCUAGAAAGAUCCCACUCGAAGACUAAGUAUAAGGAGAAUCAUAAGAGGACAGAGAGCCAUGUUCGCAAACAUAGCUUGCAAUGAGAGCUUGUGGACACAGCUCACUAAAGGGGUCUACGAGCACAAAUCACAGAUCAAGCUCGCAGGAAUCUAAGGGAGACCACGGCCUCAGCUCACAC
Molecule: long non-coding RNA, 256 nt
Filed under: Gossypium barbadense (sea-island cotton)
Lineage: Eukaryota; Viridiplantae; Streptophyta; Magnoliopsida; Malvales; Malvaceae
Description: long non-coding RNA (GBAR_LNC021141)
Source: RNAcentral